Scylla paramamosain (green mud crab) is the source of this 332-nucleotide long non-coding RNA. RefSeq lists it as uncharacterized. The transcript has 4 exons. NCBI's taxonomy places the organism in Eukaryota, Metazoa, Arthropoda, Malacostraca, Decapoda, Portunidae. The record is from RefSeq and is a predicted model, not a curated record.
UGGUCACGUGACUGAUGACAUCAUGCGCGCGCGGUGGAGAGGUGUGGGGAGGCAGCGGGAGAUGACCGGUGCUUUUAUUUUUUACUCAAAGUGACUUAAAUUGCGUCCAUUUGGCUUUCUGGAGGAGGUGUCGCUGCUGAUGAGGGCACGCCUCCUGAUACCCAGACUGACCCUCCAACACGUGAGGUUCCGCCGCGCUGAGGUAAAGAAGCUCCGUGUCCCGUCCAGUCACCGUCCUCGGUUGUCCCGUCCUCGCCUCGUCUUCUUUUCCCCCCGGUGGUAAGUUUGGGCUCUGCUGCUUCAGGAGAGAGAGAGAUGGAGACGGAGGGUGA